Non-coding RNA from Schizosaccharomyces pombe (fission yeast), 233 nucleotides. The record is from the annotation of a GenBank genome assembly. NCBI's taxonomy places the organism in Eukaryota, Fungi, Ascomycota, Schizosaccharomycetes, Schizosaccharomycetales, Schizosaccharomycetaceae.
UUUUAUUACAUUGUAUUUUUGUACGUGAUCAAUAUGGAAAGAAGGUUAAAGUUCUUGUUAAGUAAUUGUUUAUUCAAGUAAUUCGUAAAAUGGCUCUAUUCGAGCACACUUUAACUAACAAAAAAAGAGAAAAAGGGUAGAGAGAAAAAUGAAAGGAUUUAAACGAUUUGUCGGUACAUAUUGAUAAAAAGGUAAGAGGAGGAACAAUGAAUAUUCACAAAGAAGAACAGCUU